UAGCACAUUGGCUUCUAAUUGCUAUGUUAUCUUUAUAUCUUGCAUUGGUCAUUCUAUAUCAUGCUAUGUACAUUAUCGUGGCAUAUUAUUGUAUGUAUUGUUUUGCUUGUGUGAUCGUUAUCAUUUUCGUCAUUGUAUUAUUAUAUCAAUUAUUCCCCAUGCAUUAUUGUAAUCGGGUUGCAUUUUUUUAGGUUAGCUAUAUUUAAU
RNAcentral lists this long non-coding RNA (207 nucleotides) under Gossypium barbadense (sea-island cotton). RNAcentral's name for it is "long non-coding RNA (GBAR_LNC008739)". Lineage: Eukaryota; Viridiplantae; Streptophyta; Magnoliopsida; Malvales; Malvaceae. The record is from RNAcentral.